This 906-nucleotide ribosomal RNA is filed under the name uncultured bacterium. Its description in RNAcentral is "bacterial SSU rRNA". It matches the Rfam family "Bacterial small subunit ribosomal RNA", at positions 1 to 914 of the family's 1533-position model. The record is from RNAcentral.
AAUUCGCCCUUAGAGUUUGAUCCUGGCUCAGGACGAACGCUGGCGGCGUGCCUAACACAUGCAAGUCGAACGGAGAUGUUUAUUUCGGUAGACAUCUUAGUGGCGCACGGGUGAGUAACGCGUGAAUAACCUGACCCGAAGAGGGGGAUAACACCUGGAAACAAGUGCUAAUACCGCAUAAGACCACGGACCGGCAUCGGUCAGAGGUCAAAGGAGGAAUCCGCUUUGGGAGGGGUUCGCGUCCCAUUAGGUAGUUGGUGAGGUAACGGCCCACCAAGCCGACGAUGGGUAGCCGAGCUGAGAGGCUGAUCGGCCACACUGGAACUGAGACACGGUCCAGACUCCUACGGGAGGCAGCAGUGGGGAAUAUUGGGCAAUGGGCACAAGCCUGACCCAGCAACGCCGCGUGAGGGAAGAAGGUUUUCGGAUUGUAAACCUCUGUCGCAGGGGACGAAGGAAGUGACGGUACCCUGUAAGAAAGCCCCGGCUAACUACGUGCCAGCAGCCGCGGUAAUACGUAGGGGGCGAGCGUUGUCCGGAAUUACUGGGCGUAAAGGGAGCGUAGGCGGUCGAUUAAGUUAGAUGUGAAACCCCCGGGCUUAACUUGGGGACUGCAUCUAAUACUGGUUGACUUAGAGUACAGGAGAGGGAAGCGGAAUUCCUAGUGUAGCGGUGAAAUGCGUAGAUAUUAGGAGGAACACCAGUGGCGAAGGCGGCUUUCUGGACUGACACUGACGCUGAGGCUCGAAAGCGUGGGGAGCAAACAGGAUUAGAUACCCUGGUAGUCCACGCCGUAAACGAUGAUACUAGGUGUAGGGGGUAUCAACUCCCUCUGUGCCGCAGCAAACGCAAUAAGUAUUCCGCCUGGGGAGUACGGCCGCAAGGUUGAAACUCAAAUGAAUUGAC